CAAACUGGGAUUAGAUACCCCACUAUUUUUAGUUGUAAAUUUAGUUUAAGCUUACCAGAGUACUACGAAUAAAAAAGUUUAAAACUCAAAGGGCUUGGCGGUGUUUUAGACCUCUCAGGGGAACCUGUCUCGUAAUCGACAGUCCGCGCUAAACCUAACCUUUUAUAGCAAUACAGCUUGUAUACCGUCGUCGUCAGGUAACUUCUUAAAAUAUAGUAGUUAGCCCGAGAAUCAAGUUAAUUAGGACGUCAGAUCAAGGUGCAGCCAAUAAAGAGGUGAGGAUGGGUUACAAUUACAUAUUUGUAAAUACGGAAAAUAUUUGAAAUAUAGUAUCAUAAAGGAGGACUUGAAAGUAAUUUUAGUUAUAUGGAUAAAAUGAAUAUGGCUCUGAAACGUGCACACACCGCCCGUCACCCUCUGCAGUCAA
RNAcentral lists this ribosomal RNA (427 nucleotides) under Conus pennaceus. RNAcentral describes it as "partial 12S ribosomal RNA". It matches the Rfam family "Microsporidia small subunit ribosomal RNA", at positions 651 to 1215 of the family's 1311-position model. Lineage: Eukaryota; Metazoa; Mollusca; Gastropoda; Neogastropoda; Conidae. The record is from RNAcentral.